This 617-nucleotide ribosomal RNA is filed under the name Acarospora applanata. RNAcentral describes it as "SSU rRNA". It matches the Rfam family "Bacterial small subunit ribosomal RNA", at positions 399 to 1113 of the family's 1533-position model. The record is from RNAcentral. Lineage: Eukaryota; Fungi; Ascomycota; Lecanoromycetes; Acarosporales; Acarosporaceae.
GCUAGUUGUAUUAUUAGUUAUGCAGAUCGACUACGUAGGUAGAAUAAUGAUGAUGACAAUUUUUUAGACCAAGUCUCGUGCCAGCAGUCGCGGUAAUACGUGGAAGACUAGUGUUAUUCAUCUUUAUUAGGUUUAAAGGGUACCUAGACGGUAUUUCUAGCCCAAAAUAGGGUACGGAUUUACUAGAGUUUUAUGUGAGGAGGGGAGUACUCGUGGAGUAGAGAUGAAAUUUUGUUAUACUAUGAGGUAACUGGUGGCGGCGAAAGCAACCUUCUAUGUAUAAACUGACGUUGAGGGACGAAGGCUUGGGUAGCAAAUAGGAUUAGAUACCCUAGUAGUCCAAGCAGACAAUUCUGAAUGCCAUAGAUUAGAUUAUUUUUGGUCUAUAAAUGAAAUUGUAAGCAUUCCACCUUAGGAGUAAUGUGGCAACACAGGAACUGAAAUCAUUAGACCGUUUCUGAUACCAGUAGUGAAGUAUGUUAUUUAAAUUGAUGGUCCACAAAAAACCUUACCACAACUUGAAUAUUUUUUAAUUAAUACAAGCGUUGCACGGCUGUCUUCAGUUAAUGUCGUGAGAUUUUGUUUAGCUCCAUUAAUUAACGUAAACCCUUACUUUA